Molecule: non-coding RNA, 72 nt
Organism: Phrynosoma platyrhinos (Desert horned lizard)
Lineage: Eukaryota; Metazoa; Chordata; Lepidosauria; Squamata; Phrynosomatidae
Source: the annotation of a GenBank genome assembly
GCCAGUGUGGUGUAGUGAUUUGAACAUUGGCCUAAGAUUCUGGAGAUCAGGGUUCAAAUCCCUGUUCGGCCA